Molecule: long non-coding RNA, 571 nt
Filed under: Phoenix dactylifera (date palm)
Lineage: Eukaryota; Viridiplantae; Streptophyta; Magnoliopsida; Arecales; Arecaceae
Description: long non-coding RNA (PDAC_LNC021479)
Source: RNAcentral
CCAACCUUCCUCCUCUUCCAAAUCCUUCCCAGCAUUUGGAUUAACUUCAUCGUCCUUCUCUUCCGGCUUGAUCCCAUGGAAUCCCCCAACGUCUCAGCCAUUUUCCCAAGCUUAUCCUCAAAUCCUCUUCCCCUGUUUCGGAACCACCUCUUCCCAGCUGAAUCAAAUUCAAAACUUCAAAUCUCCUCAUCCCAAACCGACCAACCUUCAUCCCAACGGCAUCAUCACCUUCCUCUUGUUCUGGACUCCUUCCGUUCACAAACAAAAUCCCAGCAUCCCAUGUUCCCAAUUGGAUGAACAUCCCAAACGAUUGCCUCCCACGAUUCUCUACUCCGGAUCAAUCCAGCCUUCCUCUUGAUCCGGAUUAACUCCAUCAUCCACGGGAGGAACAGAGUUAUCCUCUCAUCCUCUCAGAUCACGCGUCCACAACUCCCUCCCGUUCGUGAUCAACUUCUCAGCAUCCGUGGAUAAACUUCCAAGGUCAGAUCCUAGAUUCCACAGCAUCCCAACAUCCGGAUCAAUCCUACAAAUCUUCCAUCCUCCGCGGAUACGAUCUUCCUCCCAGCCGUUC